GCGGCCGUGACCCUGCUGGAGUGCGGGGGGGACCUCCAGCCCCCCGGGGGGUCCCUGACUCUGCUCUGCCACGCCUCCGGGUUCGAUUUUGGGAGUUCCUACAUGGGCUGGGUUCGGCAGAGCUUCGGGAAGGCGCUGGAAUUUGUCGCAGAGAUCAGCUACGGUGGUGGCAACACCUGGUACGCGCCAUCGGUCAAGGGCCGGUUCUCGAUCUCCAGGGACAACGGGCAGAGCUCGGUGACGCUGACCAUGAACAACCUCAAGGACGAGGAUUCCGGCGUUUAUUUCUGUGCCAAGGCUGCUGGUGGUUAUGCUGAUUGGGCUGGUGCUUAUGGGAUCGCCACCAACACUGGCAGCACCUACUACGCGCCGUCAGUCAAGGGCCGGUUCACGAUCUCCAAGGACAACGGGCAGAGCUCGAUCGAGAACCGACCCUGCACCGAGAGCCCGAACCAGGUGGUGCUACCAGCGCUGCUGAUCGCCGCGACCAAUUCCAGCGCCUUCCCAGAGCUCUGCUGGAUCCAGUACAUCCCAUAA
Non-coding RNA from Catharus ustulatus (Swainson's thrush), 537 nucleotides. The record is from the annotation of a RefSeq genome assembly. Lineage: Eukaryota; Metazoa; Chordata; Aves; Passeriformes; Turdidae.